RNAcentral lists this ribosomal RNA (469 nucleotides) under uncultured Glomus. Its description in RNAcentral is "SSU rRNA". It matches the Rfam family "Eukaryotic small subunit ribosomal RNA", at positions 569 to 1043 of the family's 1831-position model. Lineage: Eukaryota; Fungi; Glomeromycota; Glomeromycetes; Glomerales; Glomeraceae. The record is from RNAcentral.
AGCAGCCGCGGUAAUUCCAGCUCCAAUAGCGUAUAUUAAAGUUGUUGCAGUUAAAAAGCUCGUAGUUGAAUUUCGGGAUCAAUAUGUUGGUCGUGCCUUGGUACGUACUGGCAUUAUUGGUUUCUACCUUCUGAAGAACCUCGAUGUCAUUAAUUUGGUGUCUUGGGGAAUCAGGACUGUUACUUUGAAAAAAUUAGAGUGUUUAAAGCAGGCUCGCGCUUGAAUACAUUAGCAUGGAAUAAUGAAAUAGGACGUUUGAUUCUAUUUUGUUGGUUUCUAGGAUUGACGUAAUGAUUAAUAGGGAUAGUUGGGGGCAUUAGUAUUCAAUUGUCAGAGGUGAAAUUCUUGGAUUUAUUGAAGACUAACUACUGCGAAAGCAUUUGCCAAGGAUGUUUUCAUUAAUCAAGAACGAAAGUUAGGGGAUCGAAGACGAUCAGAUACCGUCGUAGUCUUAACCAUAAACUAUGCC